RNAcentral lists this ribosomal RNA (229 nucleotides) under uncultured bacterium. RNAcentral describes it as "partial 16S ribosomal RNA". It matches the Rfam family "Bacterial small subunit ribosomal RNA", at positions 104 to 334 of the family's 1533-position model. The record is from RNAcentral.
CGGGGUGAGUAAUGCUUGGGAAUCUAGCUUAUGGAGGGGGAUAACUACGGGAAACUGUAGCUAAUACCGCGUAAUAUCGAAAGAUUAAAGUGUGGGACCUUCGAGCCACAUGCCAUAGGAUGAGCCCAAGUGGGAUUAGGUAGUUGGUGAGGUAAAGGCUCACCAAGCCGACGAUCUCUAGCUGGUCUGAGAGGAUGACCAGCCACACUGGGACUGAGACACGGCCCAG